UACGUAGGGUGCAAGCGUUAAUCGGAAUUACUGGGCGUAAAGCGUGCGCAGGCGGUUAUGUAAGACAGGUGUGAAAUCCCCGGGCUUAACCUGGGAACUGCAUUUGUGACUGCAUAGCUAGAGUACGGUAGAGGGGGAUGGAAUUCCGCGUGUAGCAGUGAAAUGCGUAGAUAUGCGGAGGAACACCGAUGGCGAAGGCAAUCCCCCGGACCUGUACUGACGCUCAUGCACGAAAGCGUGGGGAGCAAACAGG
Molecule: ribosomal RNA, 253 nt
Filed under: uncultured bacterium
Lineage: Bacteria
Description: partial 16S ribosomal RNA
Rfam family: Bacterial small subunit ribosomal RNA
Source: RNAcentral